RNAcentral lists this transfer RNA (71 nucleotides) under Loxodonta africana (African savanna elephant). It matches the Rfam family "tRNA". From Rfam's summary of the family: Transfer RNA (tRNA) molecules are approximately 80 nucleotides in length. Their secondary structure includes four short double-helical elements and three loops (D, anti-codon, and T loops). Further hydrogen bonds mediate the characteristic L-shaped molecular structure. tRNAs have two regions of fundamental functional importance: the anti-codon, which is responsible for specific mRNA codon recognition, and the 3' end, to which the tRNAs corresponding amino acid is attached (by aminoacyl-tRNA synthetases). tRNAs cope with the degeneracy of the genetic code in two manners: having more than one tRNA (with a specific anti-codon) for a particular amino acid; and 'wobble' base-pairing, i.e. permitting non-standard base-pairing at the 3rd anti-codon position. Lineage: Eukaryota; Metazoa; Chordata; Mammalia; Proboscidea; Elephantidae. The record is from Rfam by way of RNAcentral.
GCAGUGGUGAUUCAGUGGUAGAAUUCUUGCCUUCCAUGCCUGAGACUGGGGUUCAGUUCCCGGCCAAUGCA